Anneissia japonica is the source of this 1543-nucleotide long non-coding RNA. RefSeq lists it as uncharacterized. The record is from RefSeq and is a predicted model, not a curated record. Lineage: Eukaryota; Metazoa; Echinodermata; Crinoidea; Comatulida; Comatulidae. The transcript has 3 exons.
AGUGGAGCAACUACUUACCCACAACAAAUAUCAUCCGAUACUCAAAUGAGGAAGUUCCCCGCUGAAUUUCAAAUUAUAAAUGAUUUGGAAAAUGAUGCUGUAGCCCCUAUUGAAAACUGGCAUAGACAAGUACUGAUCUGCAUUAAUAUCACGGUACAGAAAUCAGCGAACCAAAAACGUAUAAUGCAGCACUGAUUUGAAUAAUUCUUUUAGACUAAGAGAAAUUUGAUAAGAAGGAAAACGGAUUUCUGGGUUCCAUCGGACUAUACAUUUUUAAGUUUAAAUGAAAUGUCAUGAACAUGGUGCAACAACGUUAAAGGCCGCUGUUAAGAAUAGUAAUGUCGAUGCAUGAGUGACAGCGAAUGAUGUCAUAAAAUCAGAAGUAUCGGAUUUGAAAUCCAUUGUAGUGGAUUUAAUGAAUGUGGUUUCUACCUUAGAGCACACUGGAUAGAGAUACCGGUGGUGAAUGUGGGAGGCCUUGUACCAGGGAUGCAACCCUGACAGGUACCUAAUGUUGAUUAUUAAUGGAACCAUUCCUCCUCUUGGCGUAGGUACAGGACACCCGAAUAUCGGCUGGGUAGAUAUGAUCGCUCGGACUUCCGUAACCGAGAUAGGACGCCCGAAUAUCCACGGCGUAGAUAUGAGCAUGCCGACACACAUUGCAGACAAAACAUUCCAUACCGCAGGGCAUACACAGGUAGUCCCAAACGGGUUACAUUUAUCACCAAAUAUUCUAGUUCAGGAAACUAAAGUCAGCUGGAAAUGUGGGUCAAUAUUCGGCUUAUGCAAGUGGAAAUACUAGUGAUAUGCAAAGACCCCUCAGUUGUCAUCAGCAGGAAGGAAAUUCAGUUACAGACGAAUAAAGUGUUAUCUUAAUUACAAUAUAUCACGCUUAUAUUGUCAAAUUAAGAUACAAAAUUAAGAACCCAAUAGUGCCAAAAAAGAUAUCAUAAAAUGCUACAAAUACCGGAGCGGCUAGGGGAUUCACCCCCACAACCCCAACCAGGGCCCUUCGCAGCCCCUGGCCCCCAGCGUAUGGCUCGGGCCUUCAAUCCCUUCGUUGCGCCACUGAUUCUUUGUAGUUAUUACAAUUAAUUACAAUUUUUGCACCCCACUGCCCGAUGGGAACCUCCCUGAAUACAUGAAACAGGGAAUGAACUAAUACAUUUACUGCAAACGACUUGUGCACAUGCCUCUUAAAUGUAAUAAAAUCAAACAGAGUAGGCAUUAAAGGGUUUUUUUUCCCCAUGCGUGGAAGUACGACUACAAGACCGUACUUUUUUCUUUAAAGUUUCAUCCAUGUGUUUUCUGUUUAUCCCUACAUCAAAAACUAUAUUAAGCCACUGUUUCAAAAAGUGUAUGUCGUUGGUUGUGGAGAAUAUUGCCAUUGAAAAAUAAGGUGGGUGGCAUUUUGAAUAGGGAAUAACAAUCACCAAAAAAAAAAUGCUAAAUGACUAGUCUUGUUCUUAUGUGAAUUUUCUCAGGUGUUCAUCAGUCAAUGUACCUUGAGUUUUAUAUGAAAAAAAAAAAGAAAAAAAAAAAA